UGGGGAAUAUUGGACAAUGGGCGCAAGCCUGAUCCAGCCAUGCCGCGUGCGGGAAGAAGGCCUUCGGGUUGUAAACCGCUUUUGUCAGGGAAGAAACGGUCUGUCUUAAUACUGCGGACUAAUGACGGUACCUGAAGAAUAAGCACCGGCUAACUACGUGCCAGCAGCCGCGGUAAUACGUAGGGUGCAAGCGUUAAUCGGAAUUACUGGGCGUAAAGCGUGCGCAGGCGGCUUUGCAAGACAGAUGUGAAAUCCCCGGGCUCAACCUGGGAACUGCAUUUGUGACUGCAAGGCUGGAGUGCGGCAGAGGGGGAUGGAAUUCCGCGUGUAGCAGUGAAAUGCGUAGAUAUGCGGAGGAACACCGAUGGCGAAGGCAAUCCCCUGGGCCUGCACUGACGCUCAUGCACGAAAGCGUGGGGAGCAAACAGGAUUAGAUACCCCCGUAGUCCCUGAGCGGGCUGGCAAGGCGCAU
This 472-nucleotide ribosomal RNA is filed under the name uncultured bacterium. RNAcentral's name for it is "bacterial SSU rRNA". It matches the Rfam family "Bacterial small subunit ribosomal RNA", at positions 355 to 825 of the family's 1533-position model. The record is from RNAcentral.